GGGUCAGUAGGUUGGUCGUGCCACCGGUACGUACCGGUCUCACUGAUUCCUCCUUCCUGAAGAACCGUAAUGCCAUUAAUUUGGUGUUGCGGGGAAACAGGACUGUUACCUUGAAAAAAUUAGAGUGUUUAAAGCAAGCUAACGCUUGAAUACAUUAGCAUGGAAUAAUGAAAUAGGACGAUCGAUCCUAUUUUGUUGGUUUCUAGGAUUGACGUA
Molecule: ribosomal RNA, 216 nt
Filed under: Glomeromycotina sp.
Lineage: Eukaryota; Fungi; Glomeromycota
Description: partial small subunit ribosomal RNA
Rfam family: Eukaryotic small subunit ribosomal RNA (bases 40-216)
Source: RNAcentral